This 468-nucleotide ribosomal RNA is filed under the name uncultured bacterium. RNAcentral describes it as "partial 16S ribosomal RNA". It matches the Rfam family "Bacterial small subunit ribosomal RNA", at positions 28 to 507 of the family's 1533-position model. The record is from RNAcentral.
GACGAACGCUGGCGGCGUGCUUAACACAUGCAAGUCGAACGGAAAGGCCCUGCUUUUGUGGGGUGCUCGAGUGGCGAACGGGUGCGUAACACGUGAGUAACCUGCCCUUGACUUUGGGAUAACUUCAGGAAACUGGGGCUAAUACCGGAUAGGAGCUCCAGAUGCAUGGUGGGGGUUGGAAAGUUUCGGCGGUUGGGGAUGGACUCGCGGCUUAUCAGCUUGUUGGUGGGGUAGUGGCUUACCAAGGCUUUGACGGGUAGCCGGCCUGAGAGGGUGACCGGCAACAGUGGGACUGAGAUACGGCCCAGAGUCCUACGGGAGGCAGCAGUGGGGAAUAUUGCACAAUGGGCGGAAGCCUGAUGCAGCAACGCCGCGUGCGGGAUGACGGCCUUCGGGUUGUAAACCGCUUUCGCCUGUGACGAAGCGUGAGUGACGGUAAUGGGUAAAUAAGCACCGGCUAACUACGUG